RNAcentral lists this long non-coding RNA (1287 nucleotides) under Amborella trichopoda. RNAcentral's name for it is "long non-coding RNA (ATRI_LNC000932)". Lineage: Eukaryota; Viridiplantae; Streptophyta; Magnoliopsida; Amborellales; Amborellaceae. The record is from RNAcentral.
AUGAAUAUUAGGCCCAUAUACAUUCAUAAGCAACCAUCAAAAAUGAGAAAAAGGACACUAGAAAAUCAUUCUAAAAAAUCGAUCAUUGAUGAUAAUCUGAGAACAAAGCACUACUGAUGGGUCCCAAAUUGCCCAAAGGCCACCAGAAAAACCCACAACAUCCACCCCACAAAACAUAACAGAUUUCAACCCCCCAAAUUCUCUAACAAUACUAAUAGUAGGACCAGGCAUUUUAGUUUCUUGUAAUAAAAUAAUAUCAAGUCUAAACUUAUUAACCAAAAGUUUUAGUUCCUACUUACGUUUAGCACUACCAAGUCCCCUAACAUUCCAGGAUAAAAUUAUUAUGGAACGAAAGAAGAGCGGCCCUCAUUAGCUGCCAACAACGAUCCAUUAGUAUAAAAUUGGGCACUAGGCCCCUGGAAAUCAUCAUCAUCGCCUGAAAGAUUAAGCACCUUACCUGUGAAGGGCUUACAAGUUGUCUUGGGUACAGAACGAGCCGCCACACGAGCCGACCAACGAAUUGGCUUGGAUGCAGGUUCCUUUCCCUUGCUUGUCACAGAAUUACUAGCAAGAUUUUUAUCUUUAACCUCCUCACACCCAUUAGCAGAGACACCUGCUGCAACCUUCACCUUGGCCCUUGCUUUCUUCACAUUAUCUCUAAUGACAUCAAACGCCACUCGGAAGGUGGUCGUCAUCCAUUCCACCUAAUAGAUUCUGAAGGUGGUGGUCAUCCAAAACAUCAUCACCAAUCCCUUCAGCAGGCAUAAUAUUGAGAGGAGGGACAAAAUCAACCUCUUCUUCUGACCACCCAUCAUCAGCAUCAGGCUGGAAACUCACAUGAUUUUCUUUCUCUUCAACCAUAACAAGUGGGAGUCCCUAUUCCUCAAGAGGAGUGUGAGGAACCACAUUCCCAACAUUCUCAUGAGCAGCUUUCCUGAAUGGUAGGAACCUAGUAGCCAUUGUUCUACAUGAAAGGACGAUGAAAUGCAAGAGUGAGUCCUGAUCCCCCUUACGCACCAGCCCGACGAGGUUUAACUGAUCAGCAUCCUUCAGCACCGAGUUGCAAAAGUUGAUCUUCUGAUCUUCAUCCACCACCCUGUCAAGCACCGUUAACACAGGGAGAGACGAAACAUCGAAAUCAACUUUACCUUGAGUAGCCUUCUUUAGUACUACCCCUUCACCAUCCAACUUGCCAAUCACAUUAACUGCAGGAUAUGGAGUACCCAUAAACAUCAAUCUUGGUUCUCUCUCCUGCCAUUCUUUUCCCCUUGUCAACUGAUAAAAUUU